CUUUACUCCAGCUUUGCACUGGCAUCAGGAUUGUGAUGUGCAGGAUAGGUGGUAGGCAUCGAAGCAGGGACGCCAGUCUCUGUGGAGCCUCCCUUGAGAUACCACCCUUCGCACUCUUGAUGUCUAACCGCGGCCCGUUAUCCGGGUCCGGGACCCUGCAUGGUGGGGAGUUUGACUGGGGCGGUCGCCUCCCAAACAGUAACGGAGGCGCGCGAAGGUUGGCUCAGAGCGGUCGGAAAUCGCUCGUUGAGUGCAAUGGCAGAAGCCAGCCUGACUGCAAGACUGACAAGUCGAGCAGAGACGAAAGUCGGCCAUAGUGAUCCGGUGGUCCCAAGUGGGAGGGCCAUCGCUCAACGGAUAAAAGGUA
RNAcentral lists this ribosomal RNA (367 nucleotides) under uncultured organism. Its description in RNAcentral is "bacterial LSU rRNA". It matches the Rfam family "Bacterial large subunit ribosomal RNA", at positions 2099 to 2465 of the family's 2925-position model. The record is from RNAcentral.